RNAcentral lists this transfer RNA (77 nucleotides) under Oceanirhabdus sp. W0125-5. RNAcentral's name for it is "tRNA-Arg". It matches the Rfam family "tRNA". Rfam says of the family: Transfer RNA (tRNA) molecules are approximately 80 nucleotides in length. The record is from RNAcentral. Lineage: Bacteria; Bacillati; Bacillota; Clostridia; Eubacteriales; Clostridiaceae.
GCACUGGUAGCUCAGUUGGAUAGAGUAGCUGGCUACGAACCAGUUGGUCGGGGGUUCGAAUCCUCUCCAGUGUACCA